This 973-nucleotide long non-coding RNA is filed under the name Hordeum vulgare. Its description in RNAcentral is "long non-coding RNA (HVUL_LNC011509)". Lineage: Eukaryota; Viridiplantae; Streptophyta; Magnoliopsida; Poales; Poaceae. The record is from RNAcentral.
GGUCGCCGGCGGGAGCGGGCGGCGACGGCGGCGCGGGGAUAGGCCGAGGAAGCGCUGAACGGUCGCGGGGGCGCGAGCGGCGGCGGCGGCGCGGCCGGAUGAGGGAGGAGCGAGCGCGGGAGAGAGCAGGAGCGAGCGCGGAAGAGUCGCGCGCGCGGGAGCCGGCGCAGCAAAUAAGGGGCGCGGGAUUGCGUUUCGGCCAGCGCGCUGAAAUGAAAAUGACGCGCUUUUGCGUGCCCGCUGGAGCUGCCCGCCGCGUUGCGCGCGCGCUAAAACUGCCUUUUUUACGGCGCGGCGUUUCUAUAGGGCGCCUGUUGGAGAUGCUUUUAGUCAACAAAUAAGUCAUGCAUAUAAUUCCGAGAAGACCAAGGCGUACAAACGGAUAGAUGGACAGAAGGAUCUAGUGUGACAAUUAGUAAUAGAUAGAGCAUUGAUCGAUGAAUAUAAUAUAAUUAAUUACAGAUAAAAUAAUUGAAUGUAUCGACGAAUGAAUGAAUCAAUAAAGCAACAAUUUAUCUACGAACCUAAUUUGACCCUCCGGAUUAAGACCAGGCAUAUACUUGUCCAUAAGAAAAAGAAUGGAAAGGUCGAAAAGUAACAUGCCGAGCAAGAUGAGCAGAAACAUGAGGAUCGUCCUCGGGGGGUCUUCCUUGACGAAUUUGGGCACCUGACUGGCGAUGUAAAGAAUCGAGACACCGGCGAAACCCAGCAGGCACGUUAUUGCCCAUCUGCUGCACUCGUCGGCCUCCGGCACCACCAGCUCAUGUUCGUCCGCGGCGGCAGCCAUCGCGCUUCGUGGGGAGCGACCUCGACCAAUCUACUGAAAUUUUUUAGGGUGAAAGUCGGGUCUGGUUAAGCAGUAGUACUCCGUAUUUGUUUGUUGGGAUCCAUGCAACCGGCCGGCGGUUUUCAUGCAUGCAGAGCUAGCCCUCUGGGAAUUACACGUAGUACGUACAAACUAAGUGUCCCCUCA